UAGGGAAUAUUGCUCAAUGGGGCGAAAGCCUGAAGCAGCAACGCCGCGUGGAGGAUGACACUUUUCGGAGCGUAAACUCCUUUUCUUAGGGAAGAAAUUUGACGGUACCUAAGGAAUAAGCACCGGCUAACUCCGUGCCAGCAGCCGCGGUAAUACGGAGGGUGCAAGCGUUACUCGGAAUCACUGGGCGUAAAGGACGCGUAGGCGGAUUAUCAAGUCUUUUGUGAAAUCUAAUGGCUUAACCAUUAAACUGCUUGAGAAACUGAUAAUCUAGAGU
Molecule: ribosomal RNA, 277 nt
Filed under: uncultured Campylobacter sp.
Lineage: Bacteria; Pseudomonadati; Campylobacterota; Epsilonproteobacteria; Campylobacterales; Campylobacteraceae
Description: partial 16S ribosomal RNA
Rfam family: Bacterial small subunit ribosomal RNA
Source: RNAcentral